RNAcentral lists this unclassified non-coding RNA (520 nucleotides) under Hevea brasiliensis (rubber tree). The record is from RNAcentral. Lineage: Eukaryota; Viridiplantae; Streptophyta; Magnoliopsida; Malpighiales; Euphorbiaceae.
CUGAAGCAAACAAAGGAGGGAUUCAGUGCCCGUCUCCCCCGCUCCCCUCUUUCUCUCUAUCUCUCUUGCUGUCUAAAACUAGAAAGAGAAAUCAUCGAUGGAUUUUACUUCGUUUCUUGGGCGAGUCCUCUUUGCCUCAGUUUUCAUACUUUCUGCUUACCAAGAGUAUGUUCAUGUUGUAAUUUGUAUUUAUAUAUGCUUCUCUGUAAGCUUUUGGUUCCUUUCACCAUUUUCUCUACCUGUGUUUAUGGACAAUCUUUUUUGUUUCUUUUAUGGGUUUGGUCUCUUAUGCGCUGUAGAUUUUCUCUCGAUCUGUUUCGUUUCAGGUUUAUAAUCCAACAUUUUACAUUCUUUUUUGGUCCAUCAGGAAACUUCUGCAUUACAUGGAUAAUACAGUCUUGAAACUUUUUGUCAUUUUGGUAGUUGUUAAGCUAACUAAUUUCUGUUAAUAAUUUAGUCAAAGUGUUAGUCUUUAUGCUCAGUAUCUAUAAACACUUUGCUUUUAGCGUUUUUUUAGUUC